This 465-nucleotide ribosomal RNA is filed under the name Vreelandella stevensii. Its description in RNAcentral is "partial 16S ribosomal RNA". It matches the Rfam family "Bacterial small subunit ribosomal RNA", at positions 338 to 795 of the family's 1533-position model. The record is from RNAcentral. Lineage: Bacteria; Pseudomonadati; Pseudomonadota; Gammaproteobacteria; Oceanospirillales; Halomonadaceae.
CCUACGGGAGGCUGCAGUGGGGAAUAUUGGACAAUGGGGGCAACCCUGAUCCAGCCAUGCCGCGUGUGUGAAGAAGGCCCUCGGGUUGUAAAGCACUUUCAGUGAGGAAGAACGCCUGGUGGUUAAUACCCAUCAGGGAAGACAUCACUCACAGAAGAAGCACCGGCUAACUCCGUGCCAGCAGCCGCGGUAAUACGGAGGGUGCGAGCGUUAAUCGGAAUUACUGGGCGUAAAGCGCGCGUAGGUGGCUUGAUAAGCCGGUUGUGAAAGCCCCGGGCUCAACCUGGGAACGGCAUCCGGAACUGUCAAGCUAGAGUGCAGGAGAGGAAGGUAGAAUUCCCGGUGUAGCGGUGAAAUGCGUAGAGAUCGGGAGGAAUACCAGUGGCGAAGGCGGCCUUCUGGACUGACACUGACACUGAGGUGCGAAAGCGUGGGUAGCAAACAGGAUUAGAUACCCUGGUAGUC